Molecule: non-coding RNA, 24 nt
Filed under: Arabidopsis thaliana (thale cress)
Lineage: Eukaryota; Viridiplantae; Streptophyta; Magnoliopsida; Brassicales; Brassicaceae
Source: RNAcentral
AACCCGGUUGCUACAUACGAUUGG